CAGUAGCCGCGGUAAAACCAGCAGCCCAAGUGGUGGUCGCGAUUAUUGGGCCUAAAGCGCUCGUAGCCAGGCCGGUAAGUCCCUUGUGAAAUCGGACGGCCUAACCGUUCGGCGUGCAAGGGAUACUGUCGGUCUUGAGGCCGGGAGACGUCCGAGGUACUCCGGGGGUAGCGGUGAAAUGUUCUGAUCCUCGGGGGACCACCGGUGGCGAAGGCGUUCGACGAGAACGGGCCUGACGGUGAGGGGCGAAGGCUAGGGGAGCAAACGGGAUUAGAUACCCGCGUAGUCCCUGUCUCUUAUA
RNAcentral lists this ribosomal RNA (301 nucleotides) under uncultured bacterium. Its description in RNAcentral is "partial 16S ribosomal RNA". It matches the Rfam family "Archaeal small subunit ribosomal RNA", at positions 459 to 759 of the family's 1478-position model. The record is from RNAcentral.